RNAcentral lists this ribosomal RNA (393 nucleotides) under uncultured bacterium. Its description in RNAcentral is "partial 16S ribosomal RNA". It matches the Rfam family "Bacterial small subunit ribosomal RNA", at positions 523 to 918 of the family's 1533-position model. The record is from RNAcentral.
AUACGGAGGAUCCGAGCGUUAUCCGGAUUUAUUGGGUUUAAAGGGUGCGCAGGCGGGAGAUUAAGUCGGCGGUGAAAUUUUGCAGCUCAACUGUAAAAGUGCCUUCGAAACUGGUUUUCUUGAGUGUAGAUGAAGUAGGCGGAAUUUGGGGUGUAGCGGGGAAAUGCAUAGAUAUCACGAGGAACUCCGAUUGCGCAGGCAGCUUACUAAACUACUACUGACGCUCAGGCACGAAGGCGUGGGGAUCAAACAGGAUUAGAUACCCUGGUAGUCCACGCAGUAAACGAUGAUUACUAGCUGUUUGCGAUACAAUGUAAGCGGCUGAGCGAAAGCGUUAAGUAAUCCACCUGGGGAGUACGUUCGCAAGAAUGAAACUCAAAGGAAUUGACGGGG